This is a long non-coding RNA of Tupaia belangeri chinensis (Chinese tree shrew), 449 nucleotides long. RefSeq lists it as uncharacterized. The transcript is spliced from 4 exons. The record is from RefSeq and is a predicted model, not a curated record. NCBI's taxonomy places the organism in Eukaryota, Metazoa, Chordata, Mammalia, Scandentia, Tupaiidae.
CAGGCCUCAGCAUAUCUUCAGAAAUUGCAGAACUAUACAGAGUAGAGCUUUCCAGAAACCCAGAGACACUAUUAUUUAAAAGCUUUUCUCAGUCAAGUAAGCAUCAUUUCAGAAGGCUUCUUGAAGAAAUCUUUGCCACUACAGGAAGCUCUCAGGUUCACUGACAAUAAAAAGAAAAAGGAAAGAAAAGAUCACCCUUGAAUUCCAUCUCCAAAAACAGUUUGAAAAAAAAAAAAUCUUUCUCAAGUUACCCGAAAUAAGAGGUGCUGGUCUGGCUGGGUAUCCUGAACAUCUUGUGACCAUGACCUUCACCAUCAGCCUAGGGCCGUUGGAAAGGGGGCCUUCCAGAGGAGUCUACCACCUAAUCCAGAAGCAGGCAAGCCAUGGAAUCUAAAGCAAGUACUCAUGGUUCAUUAACACUUAACAUUUACACUUCACCUCUUCAUCUU